CUGCGGACCGCAUUUCAAAAUGAUAAAUGAUGAUUAAUCGCCUAUUUGUAAAGUGUCAUAUCCCAAUCUUUGAACUGUCUUUAAACCAGAUCCCAAAACGGUCCCACAGCUCCUUUAAAUCCAGAUUAAAGACUUUUCUGUUUGCUGCUGCCUUUAAUUGACCGUUUCUGCAAGUCAGAAUUCUAAGACAUUCUUCACAUUACACACAAUUUCAUUCUAUUUCAAAUCUUUUAAUGUCUUUUUUAUCCAUUUAAUGACUAAUAAUAAUAAUUUCUUAUGUUUAAAUGUAUCAAUGUCGUUAAUUGUUAAUUGUAUGAAUCUGCUUGCUUUAUGUUUGCUUUUAUGGUCUUAUGUGGAGCACUUUAAAUUCCCCUGUUGUUGAAAUGUGCAAUACAAAUAAAAUUGCCUUUCCUUAUUAUAGGGUUUGAGCGACUCAAUCCUGGAGCAAUAUAUUGAGUUCUUAUAAAAGAAAUCAAAGAUUUCUCCAAUAUUAACUAUUCCCUGAAAAACUGAAAGAAAUAGUUGGGUUUAAUCAUCCUUUUUCAGUACUCUAAAAACACAAUUUCAGAAGUCAGAAAAAUUGGUGUUAUUUAUUGGUAAGCGCUGCAUAAAUUUCUUAUGAAAUUUUAAACCUGCACAUUACAAGUAGAAUGUCUGUUCUCUUCAUUGUCUUAACCUGCAAGUGCACGUAUAUGAGAAAAUCCCCAAGCACUCAAUAAUUCAAAUCGCUCUUUUCACAUGCUGAUGACGAAUAUGGUACAAAUCACCGAUCUACUUUCCCUUAGACUUAGCAGAAGAACAGCUGUAUCUCAAGAAAGAGAAGCACAAUAAACCAAACAGCUUACUCUUUUGGGCCACCUCGAUCUUCCCCUAUUUCACAGUUCCAUAUAUGCAUCUAAAACCAAUCCUUCCAUCCCAAAAUCAAUCCUUCAUAACAAGAGUUACUCACCCGCGUUGUGGGCGUUCGGCCGAUGUAAGGAUUCUGGACUACACUGCUCAUUUUAAAGCUUGGUGAUAGAUACGGUAUUAUGUGUUUUACCCGGUCUAAUGCCUAGCAGAGCCACCUCUGGAUUGCUAUCAAAGUAGUUGGUGGAGGAGUUACUAUGGUUUUCGACUCCCUCCUACAUGGUCACACGACAGACAAAGAGCCCUAUCAGCAACCCUGCCUACACUGCAGGGGCCAGGAAAUAAUUUAACAAGUAAAUAAUUUAUCUUGAAUCUAAAAGUAGCUUCUGCCCUAAAAGCUUGUGAUGGUCUGUAACUACAGAAAGCAUGCUGAAAGCUGUUCGCUUAGCUCUCUUAUUUAGCACAUGUACUUCUAUUUUAUGUAUCCACUGCAUGAUAUAUACACAGUAUGAAUACAUUUUUCCUGAGAGGAACAGGACCUAUAUACGCUGUACGUUAUUACAACAUGAAAGAAAAUUAUGUCAGUAAACUAAAUAGAUAUUAACCAAGUUAUGGUAUAAUGUCCAGUCAGAACGUUUACAGACCAUGCACCGCUAAGAUGAUUGUCUGACCAGAGGUGUCAAAAGUAUUCACAUUCAUUCCUCACGUAUAGAUACUAGGAUUUAAAAAGACUUCUGUUGAAGUAUCAACUCAACCUUUUUACUUCAGUAAAAGUAUAAAAGUACUGGUUUCAAAACUACUAUUCUGAAGAACCUUUCGAAUCAUGGAUCUUUAAAGAACCAUUUCCUUAAGCGGUUCAUUAAAGACCUACAAAUGAGCCUCAAAGAACCUUAAAAUAAUGAGAAUGUUCUUUGAAGCACCAUUUCUGGUUCUUUUAAAGAACCUUUUCCAAAAAUAUUACAGAUCAAACCUUUUUUAUAUUGUUGUAAAUUGUUACUACUAGAAGCUCCACUUCACAACAGAUAUGCGUUGUUGCACAUUAAAUGCUAUUUUGUUGACAAUGUUAAAUUACACAUGUCAUUUUUUAAUGUACUUAAAAUAUAUUGAAUACAAAAAAAAAUUAAGUUGCUCCCCACAAGCACAAAUGACUAACGUUAUGCAAACAGCUGUGAUGCUUUUUCUUUGAAGACCAAUGGUAGGAGGAGUAUUACUGGUAUUCAGUGAGUAAUUACUGAGUAUUUGCUGGCCUGUUUUGGAGGUGACAAACAGCAUAAUUGGUAUAUGCACAGUAAAGGAAACAGGUCUAUUUUAUCUAUGUAUUAUUUAUUAUAUUAGUCAUUUCUGGCCAUUUUGAUUUUUUUAGAUCCAUUAUACUUGAGUAAAAAAAAGCUCAAUUAAUAAGUGUAAUUUAACUUUCCAUAAUCAAAAACACACUCUCAGUGCAGUGAUCAUCUACAGCUAUCUUAAAAAAACAUAAUCUAUUUCUGUUGUUGCCUUUGUAACAUUCGUCUCUGCUGAAUAAGACUGCGGUCAACUCAGCAGACACUUGGAUUUUCGUGGUCAACUUGAAUUGGAUAGUAGUGCAUGUGCUGAUAUUUACGGUAUUGAACAAGUAACAUAAAAGCGGUUUAAUCAAAUAUUCUGGACAAUGACUGAAGUAUGUGUGUUCAGGACCAUUCUGACUACUAUUGUACAAAAAAGGAACGUUUACUGUACAAAGUUAGAUAAUUAUCCUAUAUUUCAAGUUCAAAAGGACCAUUUUGAACUGCAAUAAAAAUACUUUUCUCAAUAAUUCCAGUCAAAGACCAUAUGUACCUGUGUUAAGGACCUCUGACUACUAGCAUGCUGAAUUUAAAACAUUUUUACUGUACAGAUUGAGAUUUCUGCAAAGUAAAAGCCUAAUUUUUAAGUUUCAAAACACAAUUUCUCAAAGUUUGAACUGCAAUAAAAACCGAUUUAUCAAUAGUUCCAAGGCAAGACCAAUGUACCUCUGUUAAGGACCUCUCUGACUACUACGAUGAUGUAUAUCAAGUAUUUUUACUGUACAGAUUAGUAGUAAAAGCCCUUUAACUGCACGUUCAAAAAGACCAUAUCCCCAUUUUUGAAAUGCAAUAAAAACAGAUUCAUCAAUAAUUCCAGACAAAGACGUACAUUUAUCCAUGGACAGACUACAAUGGAUGCCAUGUGUACAGAAUGAACAAUGUAUAAUACACUAAAUUCCUAUGACAGAAAUGAUUCAAGUAAUUGUGAGUAGUAAGUCAGGCGCACAGCAGGACCACUGCAGGGACAACCACCAUCAGAUAGAACCACCAUCCACAGAAGCCUGUGGGAAGGGAAAGGACAAAGACUUUAGGAGAGGGUAAUGUUGGUUUGUGAUUACAGUAAUAUGAUUAAUAUUUAAAAUAAUGAUGAUGAUGGCAGCAGCAGAUGUCAGCAGGGCCACGGCAGGUGUCAGGACCAGGGUCCAGAAGGAACUACAAUCUACGGAGACCUGCUAGGGGAGAAAACCAAAAAUAAAUGAAAACUUCAAUCUCAGGAAAAUCUAGGCAGCAAAGGUGUCUUAAAUGGCUGCCUAGAGCCUACCAACAAAAUAACCAAAAUGAACAGAUAAUAGAAUUGCAACAAAAAUUUGUUAAUUAAAAAUAAAUAAACCAAAAUCAUAAUUAAAUAAACCCAUAAACAUAAACCCCAAUCUCCAUACACAUAGUAGCAAGCACGGGCAAAC
This is a long non-coding RNA of Gasterosteus aculeatus aculeatus (three-spined stickleback), 3571 nucleotides long. Lineage: Eukaryota; Metazoa; Chordata; Actinopteri; Perciformes; Gasterosteidae. The record is from Ensembl.